This 253-nucleotide ribosomal RNA is filed under the name uncultured bacterium. RNAcentral's name for it is "partial 16S ribosomal RNA". It matches the Rfam family "Bacterial small subunit ribosomal RNA", at positions 524 to 776 of the family's 1533-position model. The record is from RNAcentral.
GACAGAGGGUGCAAACGUUGUUCGGAAUUACUGGGCGUAAAGCGCGUGUAGGCGGCCCUGCAAGUCGGAUGUGAAAUCCCACGGCUCAACCGUGGAAGUGCAUUCGAAACUGCAGGGCUAGAGUCCUGGAGAGGAGGGUGGAAUGCUUGGUGUAGAGGUGAAAUUCGUAGAUAUCAAGCGGAACACCGGUGGCGAAGGCGGCCUUCUGGACAGUGACUGACGCUGAGACGCGAAAGCGUGGGGAGCAAACAGG